Molecule: ribosomal RNA, 301 nt
Filed under: uncultured bacterium
Lineage: Bacteria
Description: partial 16S ribosomal RNA
Rfam family: Bacterial small subunit ribosomal RNA
Source: RNAcentral
CAGCCGCCGCGGUAAUACGUAGGUGGCGAGCGUUGUCCGGAAUUACUGGGCGUAAAGCGUGCGCAGGCGGUUAUAUAAGUCAGAUGUGAAAUCCCCGGGCUCAACCUGGGAACUGCAUUUGAGGCUGUAUGGCUAGAGUGUGUCAGAGGGGGGUAGAAUUCCACGUGUAGCAGUGAAAUGCGUAGAUAUGUGGAGGAAUACCGAUGGCGAAGGCAGCCCCCUGGGAUAACACUGACGCUCAUGCACGAAAGCGUGGGGAGCAAACAGGAUUAGAUACCCCCGUAGUCCCUGUCUCUUAUAC